Marmota monax (woodchuck) is the source of this 2917-nucleotide long non-coding RNA. RefSeq lists it as uncharacterized. The record is from RefSeq and is a predicted model, not a curated record. The transcript is spliced from 3 exons. Lineage: Eukaryota; Metazoa; Chordata; Mammalia; Rodentia; Sciuridae.
ACUGCGCGUCGCCAUCUCGCCCGACGCCCCAAGGCGGAUGAGAAGAGUCGGGGCUCCACUUGGAGUUUCCGCGAGCUCCGCCCCUGCUCCGCCCUCCGGCCCCCACCCACUCCUCGCCGGUCAGAAGCUGUUAGCUUGAGCCCGCUGGGGUCGCCACCCGUUUUCUCCCGCUCUGAAAAGGAAGAGGGGAGCAGCCUGAGCAAGGGGCACUAGAAGGGAGUGCGGAGCCGAGCUGGCUCCGGGACCCAAAUGGGUUAGUUCUGCGCCCCACUGGUCUGCCCUCCCUCCCCAAGGCUUCUGGGCGUCCGGCUGUUUUGGUUUCUGUUUAAGCCUAGACAGCCUCCCCAAGCCGGCAAUAGUAGCGGGGGCAAGUGCCACGGGAGAGCAGGCUCAGGGACUGGGGCGCAGGGAGCCUUCUGGGGUGGGAAUGAGCAGGCAUGGAAUGUAAGAGACUGGUGAAUGGAGCGAUCGAACCGCACAGGAACGAAGAAGGAAGAAUGAUAGAAAGGAAUUUGUCUCUACAAGGUCCUUAAAUAUUUCAACAGUCAAGAAGUAAACACAUAAUAAAGAAGGGAAGCUUUCCAGCCCCUCUCUGCUUCAUUUCACUUCCCAGACCACGCGAUCUUCAGCUUGCCCAACCAGGAUGACCACAGUGACUUGGCUCUUCACUGUGCCAAGCUGAGACUGGAGCAACAGAUACCUCUCUUGGGCCUUUCAGAGCCACUGCUAUACGCAAAUACAAUAGAAGUGGGAUGCACAGCAUGGAUACGAGUGUCACAAAUCAUUCUCAUGGCUCUGGCUCUGUUCUUAGAUUUCCUCCCACUUUCUCCCUCCCCCUCACCACAUCACCACCGGGAAUUAAACCCAGGGGAACCUCAUCACUGAGCUACUUCCCCAGAACACUCCCCUCCCUUUUAAAAAUUUAAGACAGGGUCUCCCUAAAUUGCCCAGGCUGGUCUCAAACCUGUCAUCCUCCUGCCUCAGUCUCUGGAGCAGCUGGGAUUACAGGUGAAUGACACCCUCCUCCCACCUCUUUGGCUGUUCCUUCUUGGUUGUUUUUGUGCCCCACUUUAAAGGGGACCCUGUUUUGCCCUAUCCACAUCUCCUGCCCUGACCACCUUGCCUGAACCCAACCUCCAGCACCCACACCUGCACAUUUUUCUUUGGGGUUUUUCUCUGCGUCAAUUUUGCCCACUAGCCAAAGGUGCCAAGAACUAAUAUGUCCUGAAAAGUUCUAGACCACAAACUAACAGGUGUUGAAUUAUAAAUACCCUGCCCCUCCCUAGUCUGGGAUGCAUUCUACUCCAUCUCCCAGCAAUCCCCAGCAGGAAUGAACCUGUUUCCCUGCUAAUGAUCACAUUGCACAUUGCUUCCUUCUUCAGUGCUGUUGGUGCCCCACCUAGACCCCUUUCCUGGACUCUUGCACCUACCCCUAUCAGCUAAGUACAGGCUGCUAACAGGUCACCAGGCUCCCUCAUCAGGAGAAUCCUUUGCUGCACAAAGGUCCCUUACCCCAGAACACACACCUGAACAGCCAGCAUGACUGCAGAAUCAUUUCUGCUGCAAAACCCUCCCCAUUAUGGAUCAGGUCAGUUGCAUGCUUUCUGAGCUCCUUUCACUCCCUCCCUGGGUUCCCUCACUCCUGAGAGUGCCACCUAAAGACAUUUUCUCCAGCUUUCCUUCUAAGGACCCCAACCUCAGAUGCUUUCCUUUUCCAUCUUGCUUCCUUACUGAAAGUAACCUUCAGAUACCCGAUCUCUUCUAUAAUGCGUGGCUCAGAGUCUCCCUGGGCACCUCUCUCCCUUACCAUUAAGCACCCAUAGCACAGUCACUGUCUCCCUGCCAAGAAUUUUUAAAUCUGUCUUCAGCCUGGGACUUGCUCCUGAAGCCAGGCCCCAUUUCACAAGGCCCCAGAAUUUCCUGGGAGCACAGAAACACAACCCACCCAGAGCUGAAGUCAGCAUUUUCCUUUGCAGCCUGUACCUCCUCAAUUCUUCUUCACUUCUCUACCCAGGGGUCCAGAAAAACCCUGAGCAUAGUCCUCGAUUCCCCACUAUCCCCAUCUUGCUCACCUCCAAUUUUGGACGGUAAUGAGGAUAACUGACCCCUCUUGGCUUCUUACAAUGGGCAUUUUUUAUUGAUUUUUUUUAAAUAAAUGACAAAGGAAUGCAUUACAAUUCUUAUUACAUGUAUGCAGCACAAUUUUUCAUGUCACAAUGAGCAUUUAUUAUAAAUACCUUGUCAGGAUAAUCAUAUUUUAUCCUGUUCACAACUCAUUGGGUAGAUAAUAUCAUUGUCCACAUUUUUCACAUGAAGAAACAAAGAUUUCUAUCAGUCAAAUAAUUAUUGAAAUUACCUGAGGUCACUGCAAGCCAAGAUUUGAACCCAAACAGUGUGAAUUGACAGCUUGACUCUGGGAUAGCCUGUGUUCCUUAAUUAUCUACUCUCCCUGCCCAUUGCCACACCUUGGAUCAAGCCAAUCUCUUACUUGUGGAGAUUUUUGUAUGUGUGUUUGGUGCUGGGGACUAAACCCAGAUAAGUGCACAAUCUACCACUGAAAUCCCGCCACCAAAUAAAUUUCUUUCCUUUUCUUUCAGUGCUAGGGAUUGAGUCCAGGGCCUCAUGUAUUCUAGGCAAGCACCCUACCAUUGAGGUACAUGCCCAGGCCACAAUUCAAAGUUCUUACCUGGGACCUUGACCCAGGCACUGAAGGCAAGGGAAUGUUUUCCACAGCAGCUUCAGGGGACUGUCCAGUGAUUCCAUUUCACACCACACUGUUCCCUGGCAUGAUUUGACCUUAUGCACAGAUGCCCAGCCUGAUGCAGCUCUGCACCUUUUCUCCAACCUUCCAUCAACCUGGAAAAGUAAAAUGAUACCAUGCAGUAAUCUUCUUUUCUGCAUAAAUUUGCUAGCCUUU